UGCCUUACAAGUAGAGGCAGAUGUCUUAUCUUAAAUUGUAACUUUUACCUUUAAUCACUUGCAGUAAAAAACUCAAAAUGUAAAAUCCUAUAAUCAACUGGUUGCUCUUCAGGAUCUUUUUUUUUUUCCCCCCGGUACAAUAAGAGAGAAAACCAAGAAAAAAAAAAAUUAAUUUUUACUCUAUAUUUGUUAAACUACCUUGGAAGCAUCAUAGAGACUUAAAGAAGAGGCAAACCUUGCAAUCAAAUCGGCAUAACAAUUAGCUUCACCGUAGAUAGAUGUAAGAGAUUGAAAUAAACCAAUUAAGAGAGGGAGUGAUCGAAGGGUAGGACUUGAACACGAAUCACUCAAUCGCUCAUGUAAAGGUCAUAAAUUGCAAUUAAACCGAAUCCUGUCAUAAAAGGGAAGAAUGCUUAUUCAUUACACAUCAAAAGGACAAGGAUGCCUCUGGAUCAAUAUAACUCAGAUGGGAAAGACUUGCUGCAAGUCUUAAGAGCAGCAUCAAUGCCAAGCAGAACAGUAAUAUUAACUAUGGUAGACAAAUCAUGGGCAAAACCUGGUUCUAUUGUUGAUCUUUUCCUUGAAAGCUUCAAAAUUGGCCAAGACACAGAACUACUAUUGAAUCACUUGGUCAUUGUCGCUACGGACAGUACGGCUUUUCAUUACUGAAUGAACUUCUGAAACAAGUGCUUCAAUUCGGUUACAAUCUUGUUUAUACGGUUGGUUAGCCUCUUUUUACCUUAGCUUAAUGCUUUCUGGAAAUCAACCUCGUUGUCAAAGAAGUCGCGAGUAAUCAUUUUUGUUGCAGGAUGUAGAUGUGAUGUGGCUGAGAAAUCCAUUCCCACUCUUUCAUGGUCUGGCUCAAAUGACAAUUGGGUGUGAUUCUCUUUAUUCAUCAAGCUACCAAGACAGUGACAGUGAAAUGGCAAGCGGGGGAUUCUUUUACAUUCAGGCAGAUGAAAAAUCGAUUCAGUUCUUCAACUUAUGGAGGCUAGCCCAGGUUCUGUAUCCCAACACACAAAACGAAUCCUUGUGUGAAACGGUUCUGAAAGAAGAUUUCAUUACAAUGGUUGAUUUCACACCUAUGUUUCUAAAAACAAAAUAUUAUGGUGGGUUUUGUCACCCACAUAAUGAUAUAGGCAAGAUAUACACUUUGCAUGCUAACUGUUGUGAUGAUUUGGAGAAUAAAGUUCAUGACAUAAAGAUCGUUUUUGAUGAGUUGAGAAACUACAGAUCAAUUCUGGCUGAGGGUAAUAGCUUGGGGGCAUUGUCUUAUUGGGGAAGAGCUCCGGAAAGGUGCAGGAGAAGCAAAACUUAACCUUCCGAGUCAUAAACUGGGUAUGUGGUCAAUUGCAUUAGUGCAAUUACACAAGACUAGAUUUGAAGAUAGAAAUGGUGAAAUAUGUCUAUCACAAAGAAAAAGAAAUAAAUUGUAAAAGGUGUAGAAUGAUUGUUAUCUCAGAGGAAGUUUCAGCUAUACCAAUAAAAGAGCUGCUAAUUCUACUAGAACAAAGCAACUUCUGUAAAUUUAAUUGCACAAAUAUGUUCCUUCAUACAAAGUUACCUGUUUCAGAAGUAUAUUGCUGUCUGAGAAAUGAUUCAGCACCAAUAUGACAAAGUAACCUCAAAUUGAUACAAGAAUGAGAUGUGAUUUACCUUAGAUACAAAAGGUAAAAAAAUGGAAUGCACAGAGAUAGUCAAAGAAAAUGAUUUA
Jatropha curcas is the source of this 1714-nucleotide non-coding RNA. Lineage: Eukaryota; Viridiplantae; Streptophyta; Magnoliopsida; Malpighiales; Euphorbiaceae. The record is from RefSeq and is a predicted model, not a curated record.